AACGCGUAGAAGCAGGUGGCAGCACCAGACAGGACUCCAGUCAGGCCAAAUGGAGCAAAGCCACCCACGCCAAAUUCCUCCUCAACCCUGAGUGGCAAAAGACAAUGAUGCACAGUUUAACAAUCAAACAGGUUCCAGUUGGCGGUGUCACCCUUAACAAAGCCAGAGAUGAUAACGAAGCCCAGAACCACCAGAUUGAUGCCGGUGAAGAUCUUAUUCACCAGCGCCGACUCGUUCACACCAAAGGCCAGAAGUCCUGAGGGCAAGCCAAGAGGAGAGAGAGAAUUCAUAUUCCAGCACCAAUAACAACAUGUCCUGCUAUGUGGGUGGAUGUGUUGGUACUUCAUAACGUCCAACAUGCCAACAUUAGUCGGCGACACCAAUUCACCAAUUAUCUAUUUCUAACACUGCUACUGGCAUGUCACACUAGCAGCAAUAUUAGUGUGACAACUGUUCUGGUUGUUGAGCAGUGUUUUUCAUACAAUGCUAACAAUGGUUAAUGUGGAAUGCAUUAAUUAAACACAUGUUUAAUAUACACAUUUAUAAAAAGCUAUGGAGCGUCAUCUGUUUCACAAACCUUUGUCACAGCUUGCAUUUGUCAAUGAGUUGCAAGCCAAGUUCAACCACAGAGGGAUGUUCCUUCCUCAGAUUGUUUAAUUAAAAACUUUAAGAAGGGGUAAAACUUUCAGUAUUUCACAAUUAAAAAAAAA
Long non-coding RNA from Sander lucioperca (pikeperch), 710 nucleotides. RefSeq lists it as uncharacterized. The transcript is spliced from 2 exons. The record is from RefSeq and is a predicted model, not a curated record. NCBI's taxonomy places the organism in Eukaryota, Metazoa, Chordata, Actinopteri, Perciformes, Percidae.